CAGAGAAGAUCAUGGAAACAGCUGAAUCUGGGGCCCUCUUGUUCUGGGAGCUAGAUGUCCCCAGUCUGCGGGGGGGACGUACCUUCCCAAAGGGCAUGGUGUAAUACUCCACGUAGUCAUCUUUAAUUUCCAGGGGCUCCUUGCUGUCAUCAGCUACAAUCACGGUAAAGACAUUGUAAGGUUACCCAACUUGG
Molecule: long non-coding RNA, 194 nt
Filed under: Mus pahari (shrew mouse)
Lineage: Eukaryota; Metazoa; Chordata; Mammalia; Rodentia; Muridae
Description: predicted gene 11534 (MGP_PahariEiJ_G0002602.1)
Source: RNAcentral